CCCUUAGAUGUUCUGGGCCGCACGCGCGCUACACUGACGGAGGCAGCGAGCGUGUCCUUCGCCGGCAGGUGCGGGCAAUCUUGCGAGUCUCCGUCGUGCUGGGGAUAGAUGGUUGCAAUUGUCGAUCUUGAACGAGGAAUUCCUAGUAAGCGCGAGUCAUCAGCUCGCGCUGAUUACGUCCCUGCCCUUUGUACACACCGCCCGUCGCUACUACAGAGUGCCCGUGUCCAAGAAACGGUCGGACCCGUGCGGCCUCUCCGGGCGACCGGAGGGCCGUUACGGGGAAGACCCUUUAUUUGACGCGGGUCGAUGAAGUAAAAGUCGUAACA
RNAcentral lists this ribosomal RNA (329 nucleotides) under uncultured eukaryote. Its description in RNAcentral is "partial 18S ribosomal RNA". It matches the Rfam family "Eukaryotic small subunit ribosomal RNA", at positions 1470 to 1796 of the family's 1831-position model. The record is from RNAcentral.